CAUGUGGUUUAAUUCGAAGCAACGCGAAGAACCUUACCAGGCCUUGACAUGCAGAGAACUUUCCAGAGAUGGAUUGGUGCCUUCGGGAACUCUGACACAGGUGCUGCAUGGCUGUCGUCAGCUCGUGUCGUGAGAUGUUGGGUUAAGUCCCGUAGCGAGCGCAACCCUUGUCCUUAGUUACCAGCACGUUAUGGUGGGCACUCUAAGGAGACUGCCGGUGACAAACCGGAGGAAGGUGGGGAUGACGUCAAGUCCUCAUGGCCUUUAUGACCAGGGCUACACACGUACUACAAUGGCCGAUACAAAGGGCAGCGACACUGCGAGGUGAAGCCAAUCCCGUAAAAUCGGUCUCAGUCCGGAUUGGAGUCUGCAACUCGACUCCAUGAAGUUGGAAUCGCUAGUAAUCGUGGAUCAGCAUGCCACGGUGAAUACGUUCCCGGGCCUU
Molecule: ribosomal RNA, 445 nt
Filed under: uncultured Bacillus sp.
Lineage: Bacteria; Bacillati; Bacillota; Bacilli; Caryophanales; Bacillaceae
Description: bacterial SSU rRNA
Rfam family: Bacterial small subunit ribosomal RNA
Source: RNAcentral